RNAcentral lists this long non-coding RNA (5103 nucleotides) under Lupinus angustifolius (narrow-leaved blue lupine). Its description in RNAcentral is "long non-coding RNA (LANG_LNC001249)". Lineage: Eukaryota; Viridiplantae; Streptophyta; Magnoliopsida; Fabales; Fabaceae. The record is from RNAcentral.
UCGUGAUGAUCAUAUAAAGUGAUAGCUGGAGGUUUCUCUGCCCCUUUGGUUGAUGCAGAACUGAUGCGAGUAAGGUGAGGUUUGAUCAAAGGAAGUUGAUGCUUAUUAAUGAAAUCUGAAUUGAAUGUGUGUUGAUGCAAUCCUAAGUUUGCUUCUGUUUGAGUUAUGAAUGAGAGAGCUUGGUGGAAUGUUGAUGUUUGGUUUAUUGUUAUUUCGUUCAUUGUUGAUUGGUGAUUUCCUUGAGUGGCAUGAUGAGCUUGGUGAUUUCCUUGAGUGGCAUGAUGAGCUUGGUCAUUUCCUUGAGUGGCAAGUAACAUACAUAGUUGAGUAUUAUGAGGAGAAUUCUGUGUUUCAUUUGAUAGCCCCCCAAAAUUUGGGGCACAUAUGUUGAUGAGCCAUAACUUGAGUUGAAUUGUUGAGUAAUUCUUUGCUCCUAGAGGCUUUGUAAGAGCAUCAGCAAGUUGAAGGUGAGAAGGAAUAGGGAGGAGUUUGAUCUUACCUUGAGUGCAUUUUUCUCUAACAAUAUGGCAAUCAAGCUCUAUGUGCUUGGUUCUUCAUGAAAAACAGGAUUAUUGGCAAUAUAAAUGGCAGACUGAUUAUCANNNNNNNNNNNNNNNNNNNNNNNNNNNNNNNNNNNNNNNNNNNNNNNNNNNNNNNNNNNNNNNNNNNNNNNNNNNNNNNNNNNNNNNNNNNNNNNNNNNNUUAAGGCAGUGUUAUGGUGAGUGAUUGUAGGAUUGGCCAUGAAUUGUGCUAACUGUUGAACAGCAAAGCAUAAGUCAGGUCGUGUGUUUGUUAAGUAAAUGAGUCAUCCUAUCAAUCUUCUAUAAGAGGGAGUAUCAUGGAAUGGAGCACUGGAAUCUUGAAACAGAUGGGUUCCAUAUGUCAUAGGAGUGUUAGAUGGUUUGCAGCCUAGCAAACCUAUAUCAGAAAGGAUUUCAAGGGCAUAUUUCCUUUGAUUCAUAGAGAUUUUUGUUUUGUUUUGGGCAAUUUCAAAGCCUAGAAAGAAUUUCAAAGUGCCUAAGUUUUUUUCUUGAAGUUAUUGUCAAGAAGAGUUUUGAGGUUGGCAAUUUCAUGUGUGUUGUUACCAGUAAGGAUAAUAUCAUCUACAUACAUAAGGAUGACAGUGAUUUAGUUUGAGGAAGAGUAUUUGGUGAAGAGGGAGUGAUCUCAUCUAGCCUUGUUGUAAUUAUGUUUGAUGAGGAAGUGAGAUAGCUUUGCAAACCAUUGUCUGCUUGCUUGUUUUUGUCCAUAUAGGGACUUUUCAAGCUUGCAGACUUGGUUAUGUCCAGAAGAGGGUAGGCCAGGAGGAAGGGUCAUGUAAACUAUUUCGUUAAAGUCUUCAUGUAGGAAAGCAUUAUUGAUGUCAAGUUGUGCUAGAGGCCAAUUAUGGAUAGAUGCUAAAGCUAGAAGGAGCCUAACAGUGGUUAUCAUGGCAACAGGAGAAAACGUGUCAAUGUAAUCUAUGCCUUCAGUUUGGGUGUAGCCCUUGGCUACCAAUCUAGCCUUGUAUCUUUCAAUGGAUCCAUCAGCUUUGUACUUAAUCUUGAAAACUCACUUGCAACCAAUAGGGUUCUUAUCCAUGGGUAAAUCAGUGAUGAUCCAAGUAUUAUUGUUUUGCAGAGCUUGUAUUUCUCUAUGUAUGGCUUCCUGCUAAUGAGGAAUCUUAAUAGCUUGUAAGUAUGUUCUAGGUUCUGUUUCAGAAGAUAUUGAGAGGAUUCUAUACAUGUAUGGUUUGGAUAGCUUAUCAUAGGACAUGUAGGAAGAUAGAUGAUACUUAGAUGUGUAAGACAGGGUAGUGUUGUUAAGUAAGGCACAGUGGUAGUCUUCUAAGUAUGUGGGAGGUUUAAAGAGUCUGUUACUUCUUCUCAUAGGAGGUGAAGAAGUAUGAGUUGCAGGGCAUGGAGGACAUAUUGGAUCUGCAUCAGGGGGUGGCACAGCUGAUGGUAAAAUGUCUUCAUAGAAGGCAUUAGAGGUAGGCUCAGGUAGAGGGGAUUGAUUAGGGGAGGCAUUGGUGGAGUUGGUAUAGAUGACUAUGGAAAGAUUGUCUCAUAGAAGACAACAUUUCUUGUUACUUCUAAAGCUCUGGUUGAGAGGUUCAUGACUAUGUAGCCUUUGACACCUUGUUUGUAUCGAAAGAUGCAUCUAGUAGCUCUAGGAUCGAAUUUGGUUCUAGAGUGUUUAUGAGUGCUUGCAUAGCAUAAAGAACCAAAGGUUCUUAAGUGUUGUAGGUCAGGCAAUUUGUCAUAUAAGACUUCAUGAGGAGUCUGCUGUUGAAGAGUGGAAGUAGGUAAAAGAUUAAUGAGGUGAGUAGCAUGUUUAAUGGCAUAACACCAGGAAAUUUUGGGCAGGUUACUUUGGAUCAGGAUAGCCCUAGCUACAUUCAAUAAAUGUUGGUGUUUCCUCUCAACAACUCCAUUUUGUUGAGGGGUAUAUAUGUGAUGUUUGGUGAUUGAUUUCUUUUAUGGUAUAGAAGGUUUUCAUAGGGAACUCAAGACCAUUAUCACUUCUAAUGGUUUUGGUUUUGGCAGAAAAUUGGGUUUCUAUCAUGUUAAUAAAACUCUGUAAAAGGGUUUGUGUUUCUUCCUUGCUCUACAUUAGAUAGAUCCAUAUAAACCUAGAAUGAUCAUCUACUAUAGUCAGGAAGUAUUUAUGGCCAUGUACAGAUGGGGUAGAGAAAGGCCCCCAUAUAUCAAUAUGUAUCAAAUCAAAGCAGUGUAAAGAUCGACUACUACUUAUAGGGAAGGGGAGCCUUUUUUGUUUGGCCAAGUGACAUAUUUCACAAAGAUGAAUUUUAUUGGCAGUAAUAAAGGGGAAUUUAGUCUUAACAAGGUCCAUACAAUUGUGAGAAAUGUGUCCUAAUCUAAAAUGCCAUAAGCUAGAACUAGGAAAACAUGGUUGACAAGUAUUAGUAAUGUUCACAUGAUGUUGUGUAGUUGUAGAGUUAAACAUAUACAGGUCAUUUGAAGCUCUAGCUAUACCAAUCUUCUUCAAAGACUUCUUCUCCUAGAUGAGACAAUGGUUAGAAUCAAAGCAUAAAGUAUAUGGUAAAUCAGAGGUAAGUCUUGAUAUUGAUAACAUGUUAUAUGAGAAAUCAUGUAGAUAGAGGAUAUUGUAUAGAAUUAAGUUGGGAAGUAGGGAAAUAGUUCUUGAAAUUUGUGAGAUUACCUCAUUUCCAUUAGGCAGUUUUACCUUAAUUGGCCUUAUUCUAUUAUAGGUUUCAUAAUUUGACAAUUUGGAAUUGAUGUGAUCUGUUGCUCCACUAUCCAAUAUCCAAGAAGUUAUUGACUGAUCAAGAUGAGAGGUACCUGUAUUGUUUAUGUCUGGUGGCAGAUAAAAUGUUAGAGUGUUCUCCAUCAGUUCUUUGUGUGUUCUGAGUUUGCAGCAUACUCAUCAGUCAUUGGUAUUGCUCCUUAUUGAGACCAAAAACCUUUUCAUCUGUUUGGUCAGCUUCCUGCAUAUCAUGCUUCUCAAAUCCAUUUAAGGUUGAGGAUUGAGUGGAGUUUACUUGUUCUCCUCUACUGAGAGGAAAGUUGGUAGGGUAACCAUGUAGUUUAUAGCAAGUUUUUGUGGUGUGUCCAUUUUUCUUGCAAUAGGUACAAAACUUAGGGGGAGUUUGGGUUUUUGUCCAAGAUCCUCUGCCAUAUCCAGAGGGAGCCCCCCUUCCAGAGGUACUACUGAAACCUCUAUUUCCAGUGUAGGAUNUGAAUAUCCUCAUCUUCUUCCAUUGCUAGAUAUGGUCAUAGCCUUUGCAUCUGGUUCAUGUCCAUACAUCUGCAUCUCCUGUUGAACAACAAGGGAGAAUACUUUUCUCAUUGAAGGAAGGGGAUCCAUGAGCAUAAUUUGGGACUUAACCCCACUAUAUGCAUCAUUGAGCCCCUUUAGGAAUCUAAUGAUUUUGUCAUCUUCUCUAUGCUUCUUGAUGUCACGUAGAGCAUCACAAAUGCAUCUUGGUUCAGGCAUGAAAGUAUCCAACUCAUCCCACAUAAUUUUGGUUUGAGUGAAAUACUUUGAGACACUUAGAUCACCCUGCUUAAGAUUUCCUAUAGUAUCUUGCAACUCUGCUAUCUUGAAGAGAUUACCUUGGGAGAAUCUCUCAUUGAGGUCUUCCCAAACUUCAUAUGCUUUGUCUAUCCAAAGAAUGCUCUGAGCUAUGGAUGGUACAACUGAUCUAAUGAUCCAUGAAGUGACCAUGUUGUUGGCCCUUGCCCAUGCCUUAUAUGAAGAGUCUGUCUUGCUAGGCAUUCUGAUUGAUCCAUCCACGAAUUCCCAUUUUUUGCUUUGAUAUGAGACUCAUUUGCAUAGACCUUGUCCACUGGUGGUAAUUGUCACCAUUCAACAUUGGUGAUACAAGGGGAGUGGCGGGACUUUCUGAGGGAUGUAUGUAGUAUGGAUCUUGAGAGAGAUUAGAAGAAUUUUGAGCAAGGGUAGGAAGAGCAGUAGAUGAAUCCAUGAUGGACAUUUGUUGAAUGUAACAGAGCUCUUAAAAGAGCUCUGAUACCAUCAAAGAAGAAAGAAAGAAACUAUGCUUAGCAAUGGAUUAUCAAUCCAAGAACAGCAAGAAACAGAAUUUCACAAUGAAUAACCUCGAGAUCUUUUAUUGAUGAAAACCUGAUCAAAGAUCAGUUUACAAUGUUAUGAAAAGCUUAUCAGAAAAACUAUCUAAAGAGUAAUACUUAUACUUGUAAGAUUGGAGAAAAGGCUAACAAACUAACUAACAUAUUAACUAACUAACAAUUAUAACACAUGUUAAUCAUAGAAGGCUUAACUAGAAGCUUCAGCCAACUUAGCCAUCUGAUAUAAAAGCAUAGGCUAAAGCAAACAAAUACAAAACAUAUUACAAUUAUGAUUGACCAAGUGUUAAUGUCGUGAUGAUCAUAUAAAGUGAUAGCUGGAGAUUUCUCCGCCCCUUUGGUUGAUGCAGAACUGAUGCGAGUAAGGUGAGGUUUGAUCAAAGGAAGUUGAUGCUUAUUAAUGAAAUCUGAAUUGAAUGUGUGUUGAUGCAAUCCUAUGUUUGCUUCUGUUUGAGUUAUGAAUGAGAGAGCUUGGUGGAAUGUUGAUGUUUGGUUUAUUGUUAUUUGGUUCAUUGCUGAUUGGUGAUUUCCU